Molecule: unclassified non-coding RNA, 382 nt
Filed under: uncultured bacterium
Lineage: Bacteria
Description: contains 16S-23S intergenic spacer region
Source: RNAcentral
UCCUUCUUAUCGAAGGCAGUUCUCGGAGAGUGCAUCCCUUGCGGGAUUAGCAACAUCGAGUAGGGGUUGCGCUCGUUGCGGGACUUAACCCAACAUCUCACGACACGAGCUGACGACAACCAUGCAGCACCUCUGCUCGUUUCCUUGCAGAUCGGCCACCGUUUCUGGCAGCCUACUACGAGUAGUUCAAGCCCGGGUAAGGUUCUCCGCGUUGCGUCGAAUUAAACCACAUGCUCCACCGCUUGUGCGGGCCCCCGUCAAUUCCUUUGAGUUUCAGCCUUGCGGCCGUACUCCCCAGGCGGGGCACUUAAUGCGUUAGCGCCGGCACUCAGAGGGUCGCUCCCCCAAGCACCUAGUGCCCAUCGUUUACGGCGUGGACUAC